UACGUAGGGGGCAAGCGUUGUUCGGAAUUACUGGGCGUAAAGGGCGCGUAGGCGGCCCAGCAAGUCGGAAGUGAAAGCCCGGGGCUCAACCCCGGAAUGUCUUUCGAAACUGCUGAGCUAGAGUGCAGAAGAGGCAACUGGAAUUCCCAGUGUAGCGGUGAAAUGCGUAGAUAUUGGGAAGAACACCUGAGGCGAAGGCGGGUUGCUGGGCUGACACUGACGCUGAGGCGCGAAAGCCAGGGGAGCGAACGGG
RNAcentral lists this ribosomal RNA (253 nucleotides) under uncultured bacterium. RNAcentral's name for it is "partial 16S ribosomal RNA". It matches the Rfam family "Bacterial small subunit ribosomal RNA", at positions 524 to 776 of the family's 1533-position model. The record is from RNAcentral.